UCGGGAUAACACCUGGAAACAGAUGCUAAUACCGGAUAACAACAGAUGAUGCCUAUCAACUGUUUAAAAGAUGGUUCUGCUAUCACUCUUGGAUGGACCUGCGGUGCAUUAGCUAGUUGGUAGGGUAACGGCCUACCAAGGCGAUGAUGCAUAGCCGAGUUGAGAGACUGAUCGGCCACAUUGGGACUGAGACACGGCCCAAACUCCUACGGGAGGCAGCAGGU
Molecule: ribosomal RNA, 224 nt
Filed under: uncultured Lactobacillus sp.
Lineage: Bacteria; Bacillati; Bacillota; Bacilli; Lactobacillales; Lactobacillaceae
Description: partial 16S ribosomal RNA
Rfam family: Bacterial small subunit ribosomal RNA
Source: RNAcentral